UACGGAGGGUGCAAGCGUUAUUCGGAAUUACUGGGCGUAAAGGGUGCGUAGGCGGGGAUGGAAGUCAGACGUGAAAUUCCGAAGCUCAACUUCGGGGCGGCAUCUGAAACUGCAUUUCUAGAGGAAGAGCGGAGAAAACGGAAUUCCAUGUGUAGCGGUGAAAUGCGUAGAUAUAUGGAAGAACACCUGUGGCGAAAGCGGUUUUCUAGCUUACUCCUGCCGCUGAGGCACGAAAGCAAGGGGAGCAAACAGG
Molecule: ribosomal RNA, 253 nt
Filed under: uncultured bacterium
Lineage: Bacteria
Description: partial 16S ribosomal RNA
Rfam family: Bacterial small subunit ribosomal RNA
Source: RNAcentral